RNAcentral lists this unclassified non-coding RNA (231 nucleotides) under fungal sp. RNAcentral describes it as "partial internal transcribed spacer region". The stretch from base 1 to 48 matches the Rfam family "Eukaryotic small subunit ribosomal RNA", at positions 1784 to 1831 of the family's 1831-position model. Lineage: Eukaryota; Fungi. The record is from RNAcentral.
AAAAGUCGUAACAAGGUCUCCGUAGGUGAACCUGCGGAGGGAUCAUUACCGAGAGAGGGUCGCCCCCGCGCGCCCGACCUCCCAACCCUUUUGAUUGACCGUUACCUCGUUGCCUCGGGGGGUCCGGCCUCGGCCGCCCCCGGUGGGCCAACCCAUCAAAACUCUGCGUCCUUGCGUCGGAGUCUUAUAUGAAAUCGUUUAAAACUUUCAACAACGGAUCUCUUGGUUCUC